RNAcentral lists this long non-coding RNA (651 nucleotides) under Heterocephalus glaber (naked mole-rat). Its description in RNAcentral is "lncRNA (ENSHGLG00000043884.1)". The record is from RNAcentral. Lineage: Eukaryota; Metazoa; Chordata; Mammalia; Rodentia; Bathyergidae.
CCUUCCCCUCCCCAUCUAGAGUUGAAGUGGGAGUGGUUGCAAGACAGCUGCCCCCAGGAGAGGAGUUGCCAGGCCUUCUGCAGCACUUCUUCCCUCCAAUACAACCGCCACACAAAUACUAUCAACUACAGGAAUACAUCCCCUCUUCCCUAGUUCUACAUUCUCCUCCCUGUCUGGGAGAGUUCCAGCCUCAAGAACCCUUUUCCAGCAGAAGGGCCUUGCCUGUUUGGCUUUCCCAGACUGCAGCUGACCACAACCCUGGUUUCCCCCCCCCAGGCACCAUGCUGGGCCUGUAGCAAUAUCUACCCCACUGAGGUCAGCUGCACCCCCACUGCUGGGGUGCAGGUUCCAAUGAGAGGGCACACCAAGCUCCAUCGGGUAAGAAGCGUGCCUUUAGCACCUGGCUUCCUCCAAGCGAAAUGAGGACAGGAGGGGAGCGGGCUGCUGUGGGGGCCCUGAACUGGCCUUGUGCAGCCGACCGUCUGCCUGCUCGGUAAAACCUCAUCAGCGGGGUCUGGUCUUUGGCGGUCCUGAGAGUUUGUGAGUGCACGGCUGGCCUCUUAGACGCGUCUCGCGUGGCUGGGGCACUGCGCGGAGGGGGUCCUCGGCCUCAAGCCCAGAGAGAGUUAAGUGGGUAUGAUUGAUGGAGUG